Pongo pygmaeus (Bornean orangutan) is the source of this 884-nucleotide long non-coding RNA. RefSeq lists it as uncharacterized. NCBI's taxonomy places the organism in Eukaryota, Metazoa, Chordata, Mammalia, Primates, Hominidae. The transcript is spliced from 3 exons. The record is from RefSeq and is a predicted model, not a curated record.
ACUCACUCUAGAGGAAGCUAAAAGCCAUAUCAAGGGGACGCUGAAGCAGCCUGCGGAGAGGCUCAAAUGAAGAGGAACCGAGGCCUCCCACUACUAACCAGCACCAACUUGCCAGCCAGAGUAAGAAGGAGUCCACAAGCCGAGGCUGGACCAACUGCUGAAAGUCAGAGUCCUGGAGGCCUUCGGGGCAGACCCCAGCCAAUCUACGCAGAGCAGCCUGGGGAGAAGACAGAAGAAGUGACACAUGUCACACUGGGCCAUGUCAGAUCCCUAAAGUAACCUUAGAACAGCAAGAACUAUUCAUUCAUCCAUAAAUUCAGCAAGGUCCUAUAGAAAGCACUAUGGAAAAAAGAAGAAAAGAGAGGGAGAACAUAUUGUAAAAGUAGAUAGGGAUUCUGCUACUGAGAAAUUCAACAUCUGGCCAGGGGGAUGAACAGGAAAGAGAGGUGCUGGCAGAAUAAAAUCACUCCCCAGCUCCCCACACAAUGAGCAAUGAGUAUGCUAUUUCUGUUUUAUGUCCAUGUGUCCUUGCUCAUAUUCUUAAUCUGCAGUCCAAUGCUCUACCUCUGAGCUAUACCCCCUCCUCCUUGCUCAUACUCUUACUUGUGACUUGAAGUGACUUCCUGCUCUUGUCUAUUGUCACCUCCCCCAUGAAGCCUUCCCCAAUUAUCCUGAAGCAGAGACAGUCCAUCCCUCCCUCCCCUGUGCAACCAGGGCCCCUGGGCUGACCUCAAGCUUCUCACACUUGACUGUAACUAGCUUUUAGGUAUUUAUCUCCCACAUUAGACUCUGAGCUCCUCGAGAGUAAGGAUCUUGUUUUCUAUUUCUCUGUAUCUAUAGCAGACAACACAGAGGUUGGCACAGGACUCAAUAAAUGUUGGCUG